AGCUCAGCUGGUAGAGCAACUGACUUGUAAUCAGUAGGUCGACGGUUCAAUUCCGCCCACCA
This 62-nucleotide transfer RNA is filed under the name Bacteroidota bacterium. Its description in RNAcentral is "Bacteroidetes bacterium (activated sludge metagenome) tRNA-Thr". It matches the Rfam family "tRNA", at positions 9 to 63 of the family's 71-position model. From Rfam's summary of the family: Transfer RNA (tRNA) molecules are approximately 80 nucleotides in length. Their secondary structure includes four short double-helical elements and three loops (D, anti-codon, and T loops). Further hydrogen bonds mediate the characteristic L-shaped molecular structure. tRNAs have two regions of fundamental functional importance: the anti-codon, which is responsible for specific mRNA codon recognition, and the 3' end, to which the tRNAs corresponding amino acid is attached (by aminoacyl-tRNA synthetases). tRNAs cope with the degeneracy of the genetic code in two manners: having more than one tRNA (with a specific anti-codon) for a particular amino acid; and 'wobble' base-pairing, i.e. permitting non-standard base-pairing at the 3rd anti-codon position. Lineage: Bacteria; Pseudomonadati; Bacteroidota. The record is from RNAcentral.